This 482-nucleotide ribosomal RNA is filed under the name Prunus topengii. RNAcentral describes it as "eukaryotic LSU rRNA". The stretch from base 5 to 160 matches the Rfam family "5.8S ribosomal RNA". The record is from RNAcentral. Lineage: Eukaryota; Viridiplantae; Streptophyta; Magnoliopsida; Rosales; Rosaceae.
AAACGACUCUCGGCAACGGAUAUCUCGGCUCUCGCAUCGAUGAAGAACGUAGCGAAAUGCGAUACUUGGUGUGAAUUGCAGAAUCCCGUGAACCAUCGAGUCUUUGAACGCAAGUUGCGCCCGAAGCCAUUAGGCCGAGGGCACGCCUGCCUGGGCGUCACACGCCGUCGCCCCCCCAACCGAUCCCUCGGGAUUGCGGGGGGGCGGAUGAUGGCCUCCCGCGCGCCCCGUCGCGCGGUUGGCAUAAAUGCCCAGUCCUCGGCGGCGCACGCCACGACAAUCGGUGGUUGCGAGACCUCGGUUGCCCGUCGUGCGCGGUCGCCGCGCAUCGAGGGCUCGAAAAAACGCCCGGCUCCGGCUCGGCUUUCAACGCGACCCCAGGUCAGGCGGGGUUACCCGCUGAAUUUAAGCAUAUCAAUAAGCGGAGGAAAAGAAACUUACGAGGAUUCCCCUAGUAACGGCGAGCGAACCGGGAACAGCCC